AUUUGGUGUUGGGGGCACUUGAUGCAUAACUUCUUGAAUCGCUCCCAGUAAUCAUAAAGCAACUCCCCUGGGUGCUGCUUGAUAUAAAUCUUCUUUCUUAGACU
Small nucleolar RNA from Coffea arabica (coffee), 104 nucleotides. Lineage: Eukaryota; Viridiplantae; Streptophyta; Magnoliopsida; Gentianales; Rubiaceae. The record is from RefSeq and is a predicted model, not a curated record.